RNAcentral lists this ribosomal RNA (720 nucleotides) under uncultured anaerobic ammonium-oxidizing bacterium. Its description in RNAcentral is "bacterial SSU rRNA". It matches the Rfam family "Bacterial small subunit ribosomal RNA", at positions 565 to 1274 of the family's 1533-position model. The record is from RNAcentral.
GAGCACGUAGGUGGGUUUGUAAGUCAGAUGUGAAAGCCUUCUGUUCAACGGAAGAAUUGCAUCUGAAACUGCGAGUCUUGAGUGUAGGAGGGGAGAAUGGAACUUCUGGUGGAGCGGUGAAAUGCGUAGAUAUCAGAAGGAACGCCGGCGGCGAAAGCGAUUCUCUGGCCUAUUACUGACACUCAGUGUGCGAAAGCUAGGGGAGCAAACGGGAUUAGAUACCCCGGUAGUCCUAGCCGUAAACGAUGGGCACUAAGUAGAGGGAAUUACCGAUAUUCUCUCUGCCGUAGCUAACGCAUUAAGUGCCCCGCCUGGGGAGUACGGCCGCAAGGCUAAAACUCAAAAGAAUUGACGGGGGCUCGCACAAGCGGUGGAGCAUGUGGCUUAAUUCGAUGCAACGCGAAAAACCUUACCGGGGCUUGACAUGAUAGAAGUAGGAACCCGAAAGGGUAACGAACGGUAUCCAGUCCGUAGCUAUUACAGGUGUUGCAUGGCUGUCGUCAGCUCGUGUCGUGAGACGUUGGGUUAAGUCCCCUAACGAGCGAAACCCUUGUUUUUAGUUGCCAGCGGGUUGUGCCGGGCACUCUAGAAAGACUGCCGUCGUCAAGACGGAGGAAGGUGGGGACGACGUCAAGUCAUCAUGGCCCUUAUGCCCCGGGCUGCACACGUGCUACAAUGGUCGGUACAAACGGAAGCGAAGCCGAGAGGUGAAGCGAAUCC